Non-coding RNA from Bactrocera oleae (olive fruit fly), 2679 nucleotides. NCBI's taxonomy places the organism in Eukaryota, Metazoa, Arthropoda, Insecta, Diptera, Tephritidae. The record is from RefSeq and is a predicted model, not a curated record.
AUUCAAAUAAAAAAAAAAAAUUAAGCUAAAAUUAAAAAAUGUCCAAAAUUUGCUUAGCAUGAGAUACUUGCAUUUUCGGGUAAUUGGCAACGCGAUAAUUGAAAAUUUAAGUAGAAUUUUGCAGCAAAUUUUCAAUAGAUCAAAUAGAUAAAAAAAACAAAUAUAUGAGGUCUGUUAUGUUAAGCGACAUAAAACCGGAUUUCACUUAAUAAAUUUGUAAGGUGAUAAAAUUUAAUUUUAACAAUUGGCAUUUACGCAAUAUAAAAUUUUAAAUAACAAUUGUCAAACGAAAUGUAAAUAUUAUAUUAGCAACGCGACAGAAAUAGCGGAAGGAAAUGUAUAAGCAUUUCGUGUUGAAAAUUGUGAAACAAGUUAGUGGCGAACUUUUUAAUAAAUUCUUGUAGAAAACUGUUUCUGUGUUUGCAAUCGACGUUAAACGUUUACUUCUUGACAAUUUUUAAGAUAAAAAAUAUAUAAAAGUUCAUUUCAAAUCCAAUAUUGCCGAUAAAUUAAAUAAUAAUAGCAAAUGGAAGAAGCAAUAGCUGAUCAGUACUGCUUAUUUGUGCAAUAAAUUUGGAUUGUGCAAGGGCUUGAAAUGAAGUUUAUGAGCGGUUCAAUAGGAUGUGCAACAUCUUUUCAGUUUUGCGUUAAGUUGAUAGCUUCAAAGAGAGUUCUAACUUUAUUGACACAGUUCGAAUCAAACCGAAGUACGAAACUCUGGCUCUGACGAAGAAGAAGAAGAAGGAUUUUAUGAGCUUACUCGCCACAGAUUCUGAUUGCAAAGUUCCUUUACGAAUUUCGUGCGUGCCAACUUCCUAUCUAUUACUGAAGAAAAUAGAGUCUGACCAAACUUAUAGGCCGUAACAUUUGCCAGUUGGCGAAGUACCACCAAGCAAACCAUAAAAUAACGAAUAUAACCGUUCUUUAUAUGCGUUCUGUCCGCAACUUAGCCCAAAGUCACUGCAAUCGAAUGGAAUUGGGAUGCGGAUGCGGUGUACAAUUCUUUUUGCCAUUUUGCAACAUUACCGCUAAAAGUUGAUUAUGACGCUGUAAUUUGUCUGGAUGUAGAUACGAUAGUUGUGGGCACAUCCGGGAAACCAACGAGUCAACCAAUAACAUAAAUAACGGAUAUAUAGGCAAAUUGACAAGAAGCAGUUAGCACUUAACAUUUAGAAAAGUUUUGGGUUUCCUUGACUCUGUUGCCGGUCUACAGGAUUAUCUCCAACAGAAGCUGUCUGGCGAUAAUUUUAUGCAGAAAAAUUUUCAUCAUCGCCAAACACAUUUUUUCAGAGCUCCUCUUGGAAAUCGGCUACGGGUCAAAGGAAACCAAAAGUUUUCUAAAUGAAUCACCACUUAUUAAACUACAUUAAAUUCUGUAAAUAAAAUGCUUUCUCUAAAAACAAAAGAAUCAUGAAGAACGCAUUUUUCUGCGACACAUUUCCGUAGUCACUUCGGUUCUUCGUUUGACUUUAUGCAGAAUACAUCGGUAAAUAUGUCAAAUAUUUUAGUAGCCUUAAGCGACUAAUGCGGUGUGAUGCCAACAAUUUAUGAAAACGGUCAUUAUAUUAUUCUAACUUCCAUGAAAAUAGCACAAUGAUUUUCGCCAUGUUGGUUGUUUCUGAUAAUAUUUCAACUGAUAACAAAGUUUUACUCGAAAAUAUCUCCUGGGCUAUUGAUUAUGGCUAAUUGCGAGUUAUAGAAUGUUCGGCUGCACCUGAACUGAGCCUACCGCUAACAGCCAAAUAUAUGAUCGCUGACUUGUUAUUGUAACGGCAGAAAAUAUUCGAUAAAAAAUUUUGAGGAAAACAUAUGUUGACAAGCUAAGAAACGGAAAUGUGAUAAAAAACGAAUAAAUUUUUGAGUAUAAAGUUUAAAGAUGCGAAUAAUGGCAGUGGCGUUUACUUAUCUACAGUGCGAUCAAAUCGCGGAAAAGAGUUUUUAUUUAUUCUGCAAAUUAACACAUGUUUAAUUGUGAUCAUAGACGCUUACAAUUUGGUCAGUUUUUUUCGAACUUAUGUGGCACGUUCUGCUGUGAAAGAAGAAAAAUAAGUGAUUAGUAAAACAGCAGCCUUUCUAACGAAGCAUCCUAAACCGACCGAUCAAAGGAAACCAAAGCGUGUGCUGAAUAUCGCGUAUAUAUGUAUUUCUAAACCUUCUACCUACACAUAAUAUGUGCACAAAACCGCGCUUGUACCAAUCAAAUUGUGACACGACAACUUUAAACUUGGCAAACGCGGUCACCAAAUGUAUUGAAGCUUGCAACAUUAUCGAUAUCAUGUUUUACAAAAUGCCAACACUGGUGCUGAAGAUGCAUUUCUAGCUGAUUUCCGAAAACGAAUACACCGUGAAAAAUAUCUUUGAGACAACCGAAAGAUAAAUCGCUACAUGUGCUGGUGAGCGCUGAGCGCAGGUCAUUUGCGAGCGGGUUCGUUGGAGCGGCGCAUACGUAGAUGCGUGGGAAAGAAUGCCACAUAGCGGACAACUGAAGAAAGAAAACGGCGAGUUAAAGGAUUGUGAGCAAUAAAAGAUGACUACCAAAGGCUGUGUGCUUCCCCGGAACCGCUUAACGUUCCCUUGGGGACAACACUUCAACACAAAACAUUAUUAUUAAAUCAAUGCAAAAUUAAGUAAAAAAAAUCCUUUGUAUGCUUGAAAGUAAUAAUAAAAACAUGUAGAAAU